RNAcentral lists this unclassified non-coding RNA (348 nucleotides) under soil metagenome. RNAcentral describes it as "partial contains 5.8S ribosomal RNA, internal transcribed spacer 2, and large subunit ribosomal RNA". The stretch from base 1 to 120 matches the Rfam family "5.8S ribosomal RNA", at positions 35 to 154 of the family's 154-position model. The record is from RNAcentral.
GAUGAAGAACGUAGUGAAAUGCGAUAAGUAGUGUGAAUUGCAGAAUUCCGUGAAUCAUCGAAUCUUUGAACGCACAUUGCGCCCCCUGGCAUUCCGGGGGGCAUGCCUGUCCGAGCGUCAUUUCUGCCCUCAAGCCCGGCUUGUGUGUUGGGCGUGGUCCCCCCGGUUUAGGGGGGACCUGCCCGAAAGGCAGCGGCGACGUUCCGCCUAGGUCCUCGAGCGUAUGGGGCUUUGUCACCCGCUCGGGAGGGGCCUACGGGCGUUGGCCAUCCACCAUUUUUUUUUACGGUUGACCUCGGAUCAGGUAGGAGUUACCCGCUGAACUUAAGCAUAUCAAUAAGCGGAGGA